UCAUCUCCGGGGGUAGAGCACUGUUUCGGCAAGGGGGUCAUCCCGACUUACCAACCCGAUGCAAACUGCGAAUACCGGAGAAUGUUAUCACGGGAGACACACGGCGGGUGCUAACGUCCGUCGUGAAGAGGGAAACAACCCAGACCGCCAGCUAAGGUCCCAAAGUCAUGGUUAAGUGGGAAACGAUGUGGGAAGGCCCAGACAGCCAGGAUGUUGGCUUAGAAGCAGCCAUCAUUUAAAGAAAGCGUAAUAGCUCACUGGUCGAGUCGGCCUGCGCGGAAGAUGUAACGGGGCUAAACCAUGCACCGAAGCUGCGGCAGCGACGCUUAUGCGUUGUUGGGUAGGGGAGCGUUCUGUAAGCCUGUGAAGGUGUGCUGUGAGGCAUGCUGGAGGUAUCAGAAGUGCGAAUGCUGACAUAAGUAACGAUAAAGCGGGUGAAAAGCCCGCUCGCCGGAAGACCAAGGGUUCCUGUCCAACGUUAAUCGGGGCAGGGUGAGUCGACCCCUAAGGCGAGGCCGAAAGGCGUAGUCGAUGGGAAACAGGUUAAUAUUCCUGUACUUGGUGUUACUGCGAAGGGGGGACGGAGAAGGCUAUGUUGGCCGGGCGACGGUUGUCCCGGUUUAAGCGUGUAGGCUGGUUUUCCAGGCAAAUCCGGAAAAUCAAGGCUGAGGCGUGAUGACGAGGCACUACGGUGCUGAAGCAACAAAUGCCCUGCUUCCAGGAAAAGCCUCUAAGCAUCAGGUAACAUCAAAUCGUACCCCAAACCGACACAGGUGGUCAGGUAGAGAAUACCAAGGCGCUUGAGAGAACUCGGGUGAAGGAACUAGGCAAAAUGGUGCCGUAACUUCGGGAGAAGGCACGCUGAUAUGUAGGUGAGGUCCCUCGCGGAUGGAGCUGAAAUCAGUCGAAGAUACCAGCUGGCUGCAACUGUUUAUUAAAAACACAGCACUGUGCAAACACGAAAGUGGACGUAUACGGUGUGACGCCUGCCCGGUGCCGGAAGGUUAAUUGAUGGGGUUAGCGCAAGCGAAGCUCUUGAUCGAAGCCCCGGUAAACGGCGGCCGUAACUAUAACGGUCCUAAGGUAGCGAAAUUCCUUGUCGGGUAAGUUCCGACCUGCACGAAUGGCGUAAUGAUGGCCAGGCUGUCUCCACCCGAGACUCAGUGAAAUUGAACUCGCUGUGAAGAUGCAGUGUACCCGCGGCAAGACGGAAAGACCCCGUGAACCUUUACUAUAGCUUGACACUGAACAUUGAGCCUUGAUGUGUAGGAUAGGUGGGAGGCUUUGAAGUGUGGACGCCAGUCUGCAUGGAGCCGACCUUGAAAUACCACCCUUUAAUGUUUGAUGUUCUAACGUUGACCCGUAAUCCGGGUUGCGGACAGUGUCUGGUGGGUAGUUUGACUGGGGCGGUCUCCUCCUAAAGAGUAACGGAGGAGCACGAAGGUUGGCUAAUCCUGGUCGGACAUCAGGAGGUUAGUGCAAUGGCAUAAGCCAGCUUGACUGCGAGCGUGACGGCGCGAGCAGGUGCGAAAGCAGGUCAUAGUGAUCCGGUGGUUCUGAAUGGAAGGGCCAUCGCUCAACGGAUAAAAGGUACUCCGGGGAUAACAGGCUGAUACCGCCCAAGAGUUCAUAUCGACGGCGGUGUUUGGCACCUCGAUGUCGGCUCAUCACAUCCUGGGGCUGAAGUAGGUCCCAAGGGUAUGGCUGUUCGCCAUUUAAAGUGGUACGCGAGCUGGGUUUAGAACGUCGUGAGACAGUUCGGUCCCUAUCUGCCGUGGGCGCUGGAGAACUGAGGGGGGCUGCUCCUAGUACGAGAGGACCGGAGUGGACGCAUCACUGGUGUUCGGGUUGUCAUGCCAAUGGCACUGCCCGGUAGCUAAAUGCGGAAGAGAUAAGUGCUGAAAGCAUCUAAGCACGAAACUUGCCCCGAGAUGAGUUCUCCCUGACCCUUUAAGGGUCCUGAAGGAACGUUGAAGACGACGACGUUGAUAGGCCGGGUGUGUAAGCGCAGCGAUGCGUUGAGCUAACCGGUACUAAUGAACCGUGAGGCUUAACCUU
Molecule: ribosomal RNA, 2058 nt
Filed under: Escherichia coli
Lineage: Bacteria; Pseudomonadati; Pseudomonadota; Gammaproteobacteria; Enterobacterales; Enterobacteriaceae
Description: partial 23S ribosomal RNA
Rfam family: Bacterial large subunit ribosomal RNA
Source: RNAcentral